Molecule: unclassified non-coding RNA, 240 nt
Filed under: soil metagenome
Description: partial contains 5.8S ribosomal RNA, internal transcribed spacer 2, and large subunit ribosomal RNA
Source: RNAcentral
AACCAUUCUCACCUGCGGCUAGACCUGCGGAAGGAUCAUUACCGAGUUUACAAACUCCCAAACCCUUUGUGAACCUUACCAUAUUGUUGCUUCGGCGGGACCGCCCCGGCGCCUUCGGGCAACGGAACCAGGCGCCCGCCGGAGGCCCCAAACUCUUAUGUCUUUAGUGGUUUUCUCCUCUGAGUGACACAUAAACAAAUAAAUAAAAACUUUCAACAACGGAUCUCAGAUCGGAAGAGC